Long non-coding RNA from Oncorhynchus tshawytscha (Chinook salmon), 1191 nucleotides. The record is from Ensembl. Lineage: Eukaryota; Metazoa; Chordata; Actinopteri; Salmoniformes; Salmonidae.
UAGGGCACAGCACAGGUAAAAUAUUUUUAGGAAUACAUGGUUCAGUCUGCUUUCCAACAAACACUGGGAGAUGAAUUUAGAUUUCAGCAGGACAAUAACCUAAAACACAAGGAGUUGCUUAAUAAAACGACAUUGAAUGUUCCUAUGGGGCCUACAGUUUUGACAAAUUGAUUUGAAAAUGACUGUCUAGUAAUGAUCAACAACCAACUUGACAGAGCUUGAAGAAUUUAAAAAAGAAUCAUGUGCAAAUAUCAGAAAGACUCACUGUUGUAAUCACUGCCAAAGGUGAUUCUAAUAUGUAUUGACUCAGGGUGUGAAUACUUAUGUAAAAUAGCUAUUUAUCUAUUUCAUUUUUAAUAAAUACGCAAACAAUUCUCAAAACAUGUUUUCACUGUAAAUAUGGGGGAUUUUGUGUAGAUGGGUGAGAAAAAUAUAUUUAAUCCAUUUUGAAUUCAGGCUGUAACAACAAAAUGUGGAUUAGGUCAAGGGCUAUGAAUACUUUAUGAAGGCACUGUAGCUCCUUUAACACACACAGUACAGACACACAGUAAGGUUAAACACAUCAACAGAGGACCCAUGGCAAUAAUGAUCUUUAAUGGCAAUAUAUACAGAACUUGAAAGAAAAAUAUAAUUUUAUAAAUGAAAUAAAUACAAUAUGGUACAAUUUCCACAAUGUCUUAAAGAGUCAUGGAAAUGAUCUCCACAAUGUCUUAAAGAGUCAUGGAAAUGAACUCCACAAUGUCUUAAAGAGUCAUAGAAAUGAACUCCACAAUGUCUUAAAGAGUCAUAGAAAUGAACUCCACAAUGUCUUAAAGAGUCAUGGAAAUGAUCUGUUUUGUAAUUCAGCUUCUCUGUAAGUCUUUUCCCACAGACAGACACUCUCCUUCCCACGUCUCACCCCCCCCCACAGAAAUAACCCAACAGUACCACCAUCAUCUCCUCCUCAUUGACCAGUUGUUGUUUUUAUGCACAGGAUGCUUGUUUGCUUUUCUACCUUCACGGUCACAGUCACAGUCAGGGAUCAGACAGAGUCUACCUUCACGAUCACAGUCAGGGAUCAGACAGUCUACCUUCAUGGUCACAAUCACAGUCAGGGAUCAGACAGAGUCUACCUUCACAAUCACAGUCAGGGAUCAGACAGAGUCUACCUUCACGAUCACAGUCAGGGAUCAGACAGAGUCUACCUUCACG